AAUAUUUUCUCUCAGCAGAACAUACAGGAACCACUAGAGAAACCUAGUGAAGUUGUCAUAACAGAAACACCUACUGUUUCUUCUGUAUGGGAAAAUUGUCUCCCUUCUGUACAGAAAACUAUACAGAAAUCAAAAGAACGUCUGAAACGCAGGAGAGCCUUCAAAGCCAAAGUUGAAGCUGCAAUUGAG
Long non-coding RNA from Xenopus tropicalis (tropical clawed frog), 189 nucleotides. RefSeq lists it as uncharacterized. Lineage: Eukaryota; Metazoa; Chordata; Amphibia; Anura; Pipidae. The record is from RefSeq and is a predicted model, not a curated record. The transcript has 2 exons.